GUGGGUGUGGUAACGGCACACCAAGGCAACGCUGGGUAGGGGCCCUGAGAGGGGGAUCCCCCACACUGGUACUGAGACACGGACCAGACUCCUACGGGAGGCAGCAGUGAGGAAUAUUGGACAAUGGGCGGGAGCCUGAUCCAGCCAUGCCGCGUGCAGGAAGACUGCCCUAUGGGUUGUAAACUGCUUUUAUACGGGAAGAAACCCACCUACGUGUAGGUGGCUGACGGUACCGUAAGAAUAAGGACCGGCUAACUCCGUGCCAGCAGCCGCGGUAAUACGGAGGGUCCGAGCGUUAUCCGGAAUCAUUGGGUUUAAAGGGUCCGCAGGCGGCCAGAUAAGUCAGUGGUGAAAUUCCGUGGCUCAACCACGGAACUGCCAUU
RNAcentral lists this ribosomal RNA (383 nucleotides) under uncultured bacterium. RNAcentral's name for it is "bacterial SSU rRNA". It matches the Rfam family "Bacterial small subunit ribosomal RNA", at positions 248 to 628 of the family's 1533-position model. The record is from RNAcentral.